Long non-coding RNA from Caretta caretta (loggerhead turtle), 1743 nucleotides. RefSeq lists it as uncharacterized. The record is from RefSeq and is a predicted model, not a curated record. Lineage: Eukaryota; Metazoa; Chordata; Testudines; Cheloniidae.
UCACCUAAUGCCCACUGAAAUCUGUGCCUCAAUCCUCAGCCUCUAGUCCAGCUGCUUUUGUGCUGUUCAGGGAGAUAGUGGUCCUAAAAGGGGACGGGAGUGAAGGCUACCCACUGCCGUGGGCUGGGCUGGGCUUCCACGGCUUCUGGGCUCUCUAGCAGCCUCUCUUCUUGGGCAAACUUCUUUUCCUGCCUCCCCACUCUCUGGCCAGCUUCACCGUUUCAAGUUCCCCUUCUCCAGGUAGAGCAUGGUCUGCAGGUGCACUUAAUUGGCACUGCUUGUGAGCAUGGACACUCCUUAGGCUUGUGGGGUGUGUCCCAUCACAAUGUACCCUAACUACAAAGUCACACAGGGAAUCUGUGGCUGAGCUGGGACCCGAACAUACAUCUCUCGAAUCUAACCACAAGAUUAACCUUCCCAUCUGAUAAGCAACACACCUGCAUGGUGCUUAACAGACAAAUAGAAAACACAGAAUCUGCCCAGCAGACUUUACAUUCUCAGAGACAUCUGUUACAAAGGAGCAUAUUGAUUUGAAAGACCAGAGCAGAUUAAGGGCUUGAUCUAAAGCCCACUGAAGUUAACAUAAGGAUGCAUAUCUGAUCUCCUGCAUCCAGCACUGGCCAACAGCUGAUGAGUCAAUAGAAGGUCAACUGUGGUGACAUUAAAUACAACCCCUUUGAGCCAGAGGAUCAUGAAGAGACGCUGUGAAAAAGGACAGUUCCCAAUACUCUCUCCAUCAAUACCAGCCUAGGGAAAAGAAAGGGAAAAUAAUGAGUAUGCACUAUGGACUCUGCUCACAUCCCAUGAGAGGGAAAACUGGAUAUCGACAUAAAAAUUACCAGACUGAAAAUAAACAAUACUAGGCAACAGCAAUGUAGGUUAUCACCAACAGAGUAAUGGAAUUACUCCAGGCUUAGCUUUGGCCAGUAGUUUGAGUGAAUAUCCUAGCCCCUAUCAUGACACAAGGUCUGGCUAGGGAAAGUGGGUCCCUAGCCAUUGUUUAGCUAGUUUCUGGAACAUUGUAUAGACUCUUAAUUUUCCCUUUCCACAUAAAAUAGGCUGUGUAACAGAGCUGUUAGAAAACUCAGGGGCAGGUCUUCAGCUGAUGUAGAUUGUCAUUGUCACGGGACUUUGAUGGACCUAUGACACUUUCACACUAACGGAGGCUCUGCCCCACAGUCCCUACCAAAAAAGGAUCCAGGAGAAGACUUCCAAAUCAGAAUCCAAGCAUUUCCAACAUCCAGGGAUAUUUGGAUCUGGAGUUCUAGUUUACAUCAAUAGAAGAAAUAGGGCUCAAACUAAGACAUUUGGAUCCAGACCAAAAUCUGAACUUUUGCAGAGUUCAAGGGAGAUGUCUUCACCAGAGUUCCAGUCUGUGCCCAUCCCUAGUAGCUAUUGAGUUUCUUACAAACAGCUGCAAGACAAUAAAAAACUGCUAGUCUUAGCAUUGAGGAAAUGGCCUGUUUUUUCCUUCAGAAGUUUAUGGUCUUUAGCCAUGCAAAGAUAUAAAUAACACUGGCUAAGCUGAGCAAAAACUGUAUCCAAGGUCAACAUCCUUGCAUAAUAAUUACCAGGGUGGCCAAAGCUUUCAGGAUGAUAAUGGUUUUGAUAAACUUAAUUUUAAUUUGUGGUAUCAUAGUGUUUAAAAGAUUCUUAUGAUUCUGGUGAAGCAACCAACCUUCCCUUGUUUACUCAUAUGGGUUGAAUAACUAUGAUUUAUGCAUACAGAGUAUGUCUGGGAUA